This is an RNA transcript of Rhododendron vialii, 1407 nucleotides long. It is a transcript of the gene named glutathione S-transferase 2-like, with no coding region annotated. Lineage: Eukaryota; Viridiplantae; Streptophyta; Magnoliopsida; Ericales; Ericaceae. The record is from RefSeq and is a predicted model, not a curated record. The transcript has 12 exons.
GCAUGUAUGAGUUAUUUUCACCUCGACCUCCAAGUCUCGGACCAACCAUGGUAAACCCUCACGACUCAUCAACUCCACCGUCGUCAAUUUCUCCAGCUUCGAAGGUAGUCCUGUACUCCAAUUGGCAGAGCUCUUGUUCAUGGCGUGUUCGUUUCGCUUUGAACCUCAAAGGGAUUCCUUAUGAGUACAAAGCAGUCGACCUUGCUAAAGGAGAGCAUUUGACUCCAGAAUUUGAGAAGUUAAAUCCUCUUCAUUUAGUUCCGGUACUCGUUGAUGGUGAUUUUGUUGUUUCGGAUUCAUAUGCAAUAUUGAUGUACUUAGAAGAGAAGUACCCUGAAAAUGCACUAUUGCCAGUUGAUCUGCGGUUAAGAGCUCUCAAUCUUCAGGCUGCAAAUAUUAUCUGUUCUAGUGUACAACCGCUUACUAUGUUAGGAGUGCUGAAGCUUAUUGAGGAAAAAGUUGGUCCCGAAGAGCGACUGUCAUGGGCUCAGUAUAAUAUAGACAAGGGUUUCAUUGCUCUUGAGAAGUUGCUGAAAAAUUCUUCUGGCAAAUAUGCUACAGGAGACAAAAUCUAUAUGGCUGAUGUGUUUUUGGCCCCACAAAUUGCCAUCGCCGCUAGGAGGUUCAAUAUGGACAUGGAUAACGAGAGGAAACAAUCUCAUGCUCGAACCUGUGUAUUUGGCUUUUGUUGGAAGGUGUCACUCUUAGAUUGUGACUACAUGAAAGUGAGAGAAGAAACUCUAUGUCCAAGUACCCUACAUUAGGUAUGAUAUUUGAAUCAUGCAAGGCUUUAUCAGAAUUCGAAGCAUCUUUGCCAGAGAGACAACCUGAUGCUAUUCAGGUUCUAUGGUGCAUCUUCUUCUGAACAUUAUUGAGGAACAAGAGGAGGCCGUAACGAUUCAAUCUUUCGUCGAUUCAGUUGGAUAUUAAACUAACUGACGUUCUAUUGAUCGAGCUAAAGUGAAAGCGUUGAAUUCGUCGAUUCAAGGAAAGGCAAAAGCAGGGGGCUAUUUACUCAAAGAAGAGGGAAGCUACAACCUCAUAGGAGGGGAAAAAAUAGAGAUUCUGCAUGCCCCUAGCCGAAAGCCCCAGUUGCUGAUCUCAACUUGGCGGUUCAGACAUGUUCCCUGCUCUACUUCUGCAAAAGAUCCUGCAGAAAACCGCGACGCUUUCUCUUCUCCAAGUUGCUCCUAUGUAUGGCUGAGUCUCAAUUACAAAUUAAGAUCUUCUCAAAUGAUGGCACCUUCAUGAGCUUAGUAGAAAAAGUAGAGGGUGAAACAUUGAUCCAAUCUUUGGAAUUGCUUUAAGACAGCGUGAUCUUACAAGUCGACAUAAUUCGGAUUCUUCUCUUUAUUUAUUUAUUUAUUUUUGCCGGAAUGGAUACGUAAGGUAGUACCAUAACGUUGA